AAUAUUAUCAUUACAGAAAUAACAAGUUGUAGCUUGUUAAAAAUAAUGCAGAAUGAAUGACUAAAGUUGAGUACUUGUUCAAAACUAAUUAUUUUUAGCAUAUUAAAAUCUGCGAUCCGUUUGGUCAAAUAGAUAUUAAUAAAUUUUUACUUUGGCAAAAAAUCUCACAGACGGUGUUAUUUGUCUACUUUAGAUUUUCAUAUUCUCCUAUCAGCCUAAUAACUAUAAUUCAUAAAAUAUAAUCAUAAUAUAAUUAUAUCUAUAAAAAUGAUAAUCCUUACGAAUUGCUAAAUUAGCAAUGAGUAAAAAAUCAUACGAUGUAACGUGAUCACAUAAAGCGAACUAUUGCAUUACAAUAAGAAUCCCUUAGUCGAUACUUUUUUGGAUUUACACGAGUAUAAUACGUACAUAAUAAAUUGUAUUGUCGUUUAUAAUGUUUGCUUUGAUUGCGAACGUUUUAAUUAUUCGAGGUAACACUUCACAUUUGCUUAUAAGCAAAGACAUGUUGGUUAGCGAUCAUUACUUUCUAGUGCUGAUAUAAUAUUUGGUUCAAUACCAUACCCCAGCUACUGGUUUUCAGCUAAAAUCUAGAAAGUAAAUCGUUCAACAAAACAAAAGUUUUACUUCUGAAUAUCUUUAGUGUAAGUUUAGUAUACUCGUACUUCAUCGCCACCUAAUUUGCCAGAAUCACACCAGUAAAGAUGUCGGACUGCGAGAGUGACAUCGUUCCCUUCAACAAUGAACGUAAAAUAGAAAGUUCCCAUAAACGGACAACAUCGACAGGCAAACGCAAGACACCCACAAAAUCUGCUAUUAUAAG
This is a long non-coding RNA of Trichoplusia ni (cabbage looper), 820 nucleotides long. RefSeq lists it as uncharacterized. Lineage: Eukaryota; Metazoa; Arthropoda; Insecta; Lepidoptera; Noctuidae. The record is from RefSeq and is a predicted model, not a curated record. The transcript has 2 exons.